This 635-nucleotide ribosomal RNA is filed under the name uncultured bacterium. Its description in RNAcentral is "bacterial SSU rRNA". It matches the Rfam family "Bacterial small subunit ribosomal RNA", at positions 56 to 726 of the family's 1533-position model. The record is from RNAcentral.
UGCAGUCGACGAGAAGGGUAGCAAUACCUGAGUAAAGUGGCGCACGGGUGAGUAACACGUGACUAACCUACCUUUUAGUGGGGGAUAACCUAGGGAAACCUGGGCUAAUACCGCAUAACACUUACGAGUCAAAGCAGCAAUGCGCUGAAAGAGGGGGUCGCGGCCGAUUAGCUAGUUGGCGGGGUAAUGGCCCACCAAGGCAGUGAUCGGUAUCCGGCCUGAGAGGGCGCACGGACACACUGGAACUGAAACACGGUCCAGACUCCUACGGGAGGCAGCAGUGGGGAAUUUUGCGCAAUGGGGGAAACCCUGACGCAGCAACGCCGCGUGGAGGAUGAAGUCCCUUGGGACGUAAACUCCUUUCGAUCGGGACGAUAAUGACGGUACCGGAAGAAGAAGCCCCGGCUAACUUCGUGCCAGCAGCCGCGGUAAUACGAGGGGGGCAAGCGUUGUUCGGAAUUAUUGGGCGUAAAGGGUGCGUAGGUGGUUCGGCAAGUCUUGUGUGAAAUCUUCAGGCUCAACUUGAAGUCUGCAUAAGAAACUGCCGGGCUUGAGUAUGGGAGAGGUGAGUGGAAUUUCCGGUGUAGCGGUGAAAUGCGUAGAUAUCGGAAGGAACACCUGUGGCGAAAGCGGCU